RNAcentral lists this ribosomal RNA (495 nucleotides) under uncultured bacterium. RNAcentral's name for it is "partial 16S ribosomal RNA". It matches the Rfam family "Bacterial small subunit ribosomal RNA", at positions 28 to 507 of the family's 1533-position model. The record is from RNAcentral.
GACGAACGCUGGCGGCGUGCCUAAUACAUGCAAGUAGAACGCUGAAGGAGGAGCUUGCUUCUCUGGAUGAGUUGCGAACGGGUGAGUAACGCGUAGGUAACCUGCCUGGUAGCGGGGGAUAACUAUUGGAAACGAUAGCUAAUACCGCAUAAGAGUAGAUGUUGCAUGACAUUUGCUUAAAAGGUGCAAUUGCAUCACUACCAGAUGGACCUGCGUUGUAUUAGCUAGUUGGUGAGGUAACGGCUCACCAAGGCGACGAUACAUAGCCGACCUGAGAGGGUGAUCGGCCACACUGGGACUGAGACACGGCCCAGACUCCUACGGGAGGCAGCAGUAGGGAAUCUUCGGCAAUGGACGGAAGUCUGACCGAGCAACGCCGCGUGAGUGAAGAAGGUUUUCGGAUCGUAAAGCUCUGUUGUAAGAGAAGAACGAGUGUGAGAGUGGAAAGUUCACACUGUGAUGGUAUCUUACCAGAAAGGGACGGCUAACUACGUG